RNAcentral lists this long non-coding RNA (637 nucleotides) under Theobroma cacao (cacao). RNAcentral describes it as "long non-coding RNA (TCAC_LNC002597)". The record is from RNAcentral. Lineage: Eukaryota; Viridiplantae; Streptophyta; Magnoliopsida; Malvales; Malvaceae.
CUCCAUCCUGAGUCCUUCUUAUCAACACCAUCAGUUUUUCCACCAGAUGACGCUGUUCCGGCACCUCCCAUCCUGACUCCAAACCCUUUUCAGCUACCUCCCCUGCUUCCUCCAAACCCCAUUCAGCCUCCUCCCUUGCUUCCUCCCAACCCUUUUCAGCCACCUCCCCUGCUUCCUCCAAACCCCUUUCAGCCUCCUCCCUUGCUUCCUCCCAACCCUUUUCAGCCACCUCCCCUGCUUCCUCCAAACCCCUUUCAGCCUCCUCCCUUGCUUCCUCCCAACCCUUUUCAGCCACCUCCCCUGCUUCCUCCAAACCCCUUUCAGCCUCCUCCCUUGCUUCCUCCCAACCCUUUUCAGCCGCCACCAGCUCCACUUAUUCCAAACCCGUUUCAGCCUCCUCCAGCUCCACUUAUUCCAAACCCGUUUCAGCCUCCCCCGGCUCCACUUUUUCCUCCAAACCCGUUUCAGCCUCCCCCGGCUCCACUUUUUCCUCCAAACCCGUUUCAGCCUCCUCCAGCUCCACUUAUUCCAAACCCGUUUCAGCCUCCCCCGGCUCCACUUUUUCCUCCAAACCCGUUUCGGCCUCCUCGAGCACCUCCGUCACCAUUGUUUCCUUUUCCACCAAUUCCAGGGCUAA